RNAcentral lists this unclassified non-coding RNA (301 nucleotides) under Hevea brasiliensis (rubber tree). The record is from RNAcentral. Lineage: Eukaryota; Viridiplantae; Streptophyta; Magnoliopsida; Malpighiales; Euphorbiaceae.
GAAUCAGAGAGUGCAGGGAGAGAUAAUUCAAGAAGGCCAGCAGUUUGAUAUACGUUCGUCAGUUGAUGAAUUCAAGCACUAUACAAGUUCGUACAUGUUCUGGAAACCAGGAAUGGAAAUCUUUGUUUCUCAUGUCCGCAGAAGGCAGAUCCCUCCUUUUGUGUUUCCAGAAGGUCAUAGACGAUCUCGUGCUACAAGGUUGUCAGCUUUGCAACGUUCUGAUGGACCAAAUCAAGAUGAUGUACAAAAUGGUAGGAGUGGCAGUAAUGAAAGAUACCUUAAGAGGAAAAAUGAUCUCGAC